This 253-nucleotide ribosomal RNA is filed under the name uncultured bacterium. Its description in RNAcentral is "partial 16S ribosomal RNA". It matches the Rfam family "Bacterial small subunit ribosomal RNA", at positions 524 to 776 of the family's 1533-position model. The record is from RNAcentral.
UACGUAGGGGGCUAGCGUUGUCCGGAAUCAUUGGGCGUAAAGCGCGUGUAGGCGGCCCGGUAAGUCCGCUGUGAAAGUCGGGGGCUCAACCCUCGAAAGCCGGUGGAUACUGUCGGGCUCGAGUACGGAAGAGGCGAGUGGAAUUCCUGGUGUAGAGGUGAAAUUCGUAGAUAUUGGGAAGAACACCAGUGGCGAAGGCGGCUCACUGGCCCGGUACUGACGCUGAGGCGCGAAAGCGUGGGGAGCAAACAGG